Molecule: ribosomal RNA, 2142 nt
Filed under: Natrialba sp. SSL1
Lineage: Archaea; Methanobacteriati; Methanobacteriota; Halobacteria; Halobacteriales; Natrialbaceae
Description: bacterial LSU rRNA
Rfam family: Archaeal large subunit ribosomal RNA
Source: RNAcentral
GGGAAACCGACAUGGCCGCAGUCUUACGACGAGGGCCGCCGUGUUCAAGCGCGGGGAGUCAAACGGGCACGACCCGAAACUGGAUGAUCUAGACGUGGGCAAGGUGAAGCGUGCCGAAAGGCACGUGGAGGCCUGUUAGUGUUGGUGUCCUACAAUACCCUCACGUGACCUACGUCUAGGGGUGAAAGGCCCAUCGAAUCCAGAAACAGCUGGUUCCAACCGAAAGAUGUCGAAGCAUCACCUCUGCCGAGAUAGUUCAUGGGGUAGAGCGACGGAUUGGGGGACCGCACUCCGAGAGGAGUGCGCCCCCCUGUCCAACUCCGAACCUAUGAACGUCGUUCGACGCAGGGAGUCCGGUGCACGGGGUAAGCCUGUGUACCGUAAGGGAGACAACCCAGAGCUGGGUUAAGGUCCCAAAGUGUGGAUUAAGUGCGAUCGAAGGUGGUCUCAAGCCCUAGACAGCCGGGAGGUGAGCUUAGAAGCAGCUACCCUCUAAGAAAAGCGUAACAGCUUACCGGCCGAGGUUUGAGGCGCCCAAAAUGAUCGGGGCUCAAAUCCACCACCGAGACCUAGUCGUGCCCCUCACAGGGCAAUCGCGUAGGUUGGCGUUCUGUUCGGGUGGAAGCACGGUCGAGAGAUCGUGUGGACCGUUCAGUAACGAAAAUCCUGGUCAUAGUAGCAGCGUUAGUCGGGUUAGACCCCCGACGGCCGAACGAGUAAGGGUUCCUCAGCAAUGCUAAUCAGCUGAGGGUUAGCCGGUCCUAAGUCAGCCCGUAAGUCGAAGCUGACAACAGGGAAAUAGGUUAAUAUUCCUAUGCCGGUAUGCAAUUAAAGUUGACGCUUUGGGGCCACCCAGGCCGGGCCUUCGCCCGGUUGAACAGUCGAAGAGCGUGGAAGCCGUAAUGGCACGAAGCGAUCGAAUGGCUGGAUAACGUAAGCUGGGUCAACCCAGAGCCCGUGAAAAGACGAGCAUACUGUCCGUACCGAGAUCCGACACAGGUACUCAUGGCGGCGAAAGCCAAGGUCUGUCGGGAGCAACCGACGUUAGGGAAUUCGGCAAGUUAGUCCCGUACGUUCGCAAUAAGGGAUGCCUGCCUCGGAAAGAGGCAGGUCGCAGUGACUCGGGCGCUCCGACUGUCUAGUAACAACAUAGGUGACCGCAAAUCCGCAAGGACUCGUACGGUCACUGAAUCCUGCCCAGUGCGGGUAUCUGAACACCCCUUACAAGGGGACGAAGGACCCGUUAACGGCGGGGGUAACUAUGACCCUCUUAAGGUAGCGUAGUACCUUGCCGCUUCAGUAGCGGCUUGCAUGAAUGGAUCAACGAGAGCGCCACUGUCCCAACGUUGGGCCCGGUGAACUGUACGUUCCAGUGCGGAGUCUGGAGACCCCCAAGGGGAAGCGAAGACCCUAUAGAGCUUUACUGCAGGCUGUCACUGAGACGUGGUCGCCAUUGUGCAGCAUAGGUAGGAGCCGUUACACAGGUACCCGCGCUAGCGGGCCACCGAGGCAGCAUUGAAAUACUACCCGAUGGUGACUGCGACUCUCACUCCUGGCGGAGGACACUGGUAGCCGGGCAGUUUGACUGGGGCGGUACGCGCCUGAAAAGAUAUCGGGCGCGCCCCAAGAUUUCCUCACCCGCGUCGGAGACGCGGGAAAGAGCGCAAGAGCAUACGGAAGUCUGACAGUGUCCGGCACAACGACGGACGCUGACGCGAAAGCGUGGUCUAGCGAACCAAUUAGGCUGCUUGAUGCGGCCAAUUGCUGACAAAAAAGCUACCUUAGGGAUAACAGAGUCGUCACCCGCAAGAGCACAUAUCGACCGGGUGGCUUGCUACCUCGAUGUCGGUUCCCUCCAUCCUGCCCGUGCAGAAGCGGGCAAGGGUGAGGUUGUUCGCCUAUUAAAGGAGGUCGUGAGCUGGGUUUAGACCGUCGUGAGACAGGUCGGCUGCUAUCUAUUGGGGGUGUUAUGGUUCCUGACGGGAACGUUCGUAUAGUACGAGAGGAACUACGAAUGGGUGCCACUGGUGUACCGGCUGUUCGAAAGAGCACGUGCCGGGCAGCCACGCACCACGGGGUAAGAGCUGAACGCAUCUAAGCUCGAAACCCACCUGGAAAAGAGGAGCCACUGAGGCCACUCGU